AGAACAAUCUAAGAAAAGUAGUAAAUUUAACAGGGCAUACCUCACUGAAGCCAAGCUAGCUUUGAAGUCUCUCUAAAUGACUGUAGACAAAACAAACAACACAGUCAACUAUUACUCAACUGGUCUCAUAGGAUUUCAGUUGGUUUCCCACCCAAUGACUCUAUUUAGUAGGGUGACUUUCAGCCAACUUCUCCAUUCAAAGUGUUUCAUAUUAUUCUCCUCUCUAUGGUGCACCAAUUGUGAACUGGAAAUGUUUAACAACUGCCUCUCAAAAAAAGGAUUUAAAAUUCUGGACUUCUAUGAAGCAUAUGUGGAUACCUGAUGCUGAUUUUUGAACUGUGUCCAAAACGGUGAAGUGAAUAUGGUUUGAUUGAUUGCAUUGUAUGACAUGGAAAGAGUAUGACCAAAGCCACCCCCUCCCCCAUUUGACAAGCAGAUAAAUAAGACUACUGAUUUUGUAAGAGCAGAAAAUCAGUGUCACUGGAUAUAAUAAUGACAGUAUUGGUUCAUCACAUCA
Monodelphis domestica (gray short-tailed opossum) is the source of this 517-nucleotide long non-coding RNA. RefSeq lists it as uncharacterized. Lineage: Eukaryota; Metazoa; Chordata; Mammalia; Didelphimorphia; Didelphidae. The record is from RefSeq and is a predicted model, not a curated record.